Mercurialis annua (annual mercury) is the source of this 193-nucleotide small nuclear RNA. RefSeq annotates it as U2 spliceosomal RNA. The transcript has a single exon. The record is from RefSeq and is a predicted model, not a curated record. Lineage: Eukaryota; Viridiplantae; Streptophyta; Magnoliopsida; Malpighiales; Euphorbiaceae.
UUAGUUUUUAACCGAACCGGCUGAAUUAUCGACCUAUUUUAUCGGUUCAGUUUAAUAUCUGAUAUGUGGGUCAUUGGCCCACACAAUAUUAAAUUUAUUUUUUAAAGGGGAGGGUUCACCACAGUAGCUUGCUACUGCAACCGUCACGAGUCGCUUGAGCGUUGCACUACUACUCUAGCCUGGCUCACCCCUC